GGACGUGGCCUCUCAUGACUUCUUUUUUUCUUGUCAUAUGUGCAUGUUUAUGUGUGUGUGCCCGUGUGUGUGUGUGUAUGUGUGUGUUUGUGUGUGUGUAUGCACAAGUUGGUAUGCACGUGGAUGUGUGUGCAUGUUUGUGUGCAUACAUAUUUCUCUGUAUACAUAUUUAUGUGUGUGUGCCUGUGCAUGUGUGUGUGCAUGUGUGCAUGUAUAUGUGUAUACACAUCUUUGUGCAUCUGAAUGUGUGUGGAUGUUUGUGUGUGUGCACAUUUAUGUACCUAUGUGCAUGUGUUUGUAUAUUUGUAUGCUUCUGUUAUUGUGAAUAUUCACAUGUGUGUGCAUGUUUGUAUGUGUAUAUGUUUAUGUGUGUGCACAUGUGUAUGUGCAUGUGUGUGCAUGUGCAUGUGUAUGGGCAUGUGCAUGUGUGUGUGCAUGUACAUGUGGGUAAAAGUGUAGAGGCCACACAUUGACACCGAGUGCCUGCUAUUGCUUUCUCCUUUUGUUUAAAUGUGAGUGUUCUGUCUGCAUGUACCCCUGCACACCAGAAACAGGCUUCAGAUCCCUUUAUAGAUGGUCAUGAGCCACAUGGUAUCGGGGCUGGGAAUUGAACUCAGGACCUCUGGAAGAACAGCCAGUGCUCUUAACCGCUGAGCCAUCUCUUGAAUCCCUCCAUACUUUUGAACUCGACAUUCAUGGACUGGGAAGACUUGAGUGGCCAGUGAGCUCUGGGGAGUCACCUGUUUCUGCUCCCCCAGCCCUACCGUUACAGAUGAACAUGGCUGCAGCUUAAAAAGAAAAUCAUCAUCAUCAUCAUCAUCAUCAUCAUCAUCAUCAUCAUCACUACCAGUGUGCCUGCUGGCAAUCUAAACUCAGGUCCUCACUCUUUGUAUGACAGACACUUUCUAUCCAGCCCACUUCUGAUUAUAUUUGAAGGAGUAUUUUAGUGCAAGGAAAAUGUAUCCCCCCAGCAGAUGGUUACUUUUUACUUUUUUUUUUUUUUCUCUUUUCGGAGCUGGGGGCGGAACCCAGGGCCUUGCGCUUGCUAGGCAAGCCCUCUACCACUGAGCUAAAUCCCCAACUCUGGUUACUUUCUUUUUAAAAAGGUUUGUUGAUGGUUACUUUCUCUUUAAAAAGGUUUGCAUGCUUCUACUCCCAGCAUUUGGGGAGGUUGGGGGAGGCAGGCAGAUCUCUGUGAGUUCGAGGCCAGCCUGGUCUACAGAGUGAGUUCCAGAGCAGUCAGGGCUACACAGAGAAACCCUGUCUCAGCUCCGCUCCCCACCCCCAAACAAAAAACAAAAAAGAACAGAAAAGAUUUAGUGCAUGAGUGUGUGUGUGUGUGUGUGUGUAUUUGUGUACGCUCGCACAUGCACACACACUCAUGCACAUACACAGGUACCCAAAGAGCACAGGAGGAGGUGUCAGAUCCCGUGGAGCUGGAGUUCCAGGCCUCUGUGACUCACACUGGUAGUUGACGCAGUCAUGGGUAUUGGGAUCAGAACGUUAGUCGACAGCCAGGGCCCUAAACACUCUUAACCCGUCUCUGCGGCCGCCAUUCCUGAUAGGUUUAGAAUGUCAACUUGCAAACUUAAUAAAGAUGGGAGGAGGAAAGAAGGAAGGGAACGGCCGGGCUCACUUGGGCUUCUGGGUCCUAUAGUGAUGAAGCAUCAGGUUUAACAUCACUUUAAUUAUAAUUUUAUGGAGCAAGAAUAUUAACUUUAAUAUAUUUAAUGCUGGGCACUAAUAAAAUAUUAAUUAGGAGAGAGGGAUGGCUAUAAAGUAGCAUGAAUGGGAAGGGUUCUCCAACAUUAUGGGGUAAAAUGAAGGAUUCUGAUUUAGGUUCACUCACGAGGAACCUAAAAUUUAAAAUAGGAGUCAGGGGUGGUGGCACACAUCUAUAAUCCCGGCAUGUGAGAGGCAGAGGCAGGCAGAUCUCUCUGGGUUGGAGUCCAGCCUGGUCUAUAUAAUGAGUUCUAGGACUGUCAGAGCAAUUAGUAAAUGCUAUCUUCAAAACAAAACAAAACACAAAAAGCAAACCAAGCCAACAACAACAACAAAAGCAAAACCUUAAAAAACUGACAUUCAAAAGUAUCGUGAAAGAGGGCCAGUUAUGCAAAUUGAAGAGGCGAGAGGAAUGGCCCAACUGUUAAGGGUGUAUCCUCCUCUUGCAGAGGAUCACAUUGGGUGGCUCAAACCUGCCUGCAACUCCAGCUCCAGGUCACUAGAUGCAGUCUGCUGGUGUCUGCAGGUUCUUGCACUUGUGUGCACAUGGACACACACACAAACACACAGAGAGAGACAGACACAUGCAUACACACACACACACACACACACACACACACACACAGACACAUGCAUACACUUAACUGUGCCUAUAGGUAGGUACAUGAAAAACAUUCUGAAAUUUAGCACAUGGUUUCAAAGACGUGUGAAAGAGAGUCGGCAGCACCUGAUUCCUUUGAAAAGCUGGUUAAAACAGCAAGCUCAACGAACCCUAGUGUUCUUUGCUUUCUCCAGGAAGUCGGUGGGCAUGUAUUUGGGAGAGGUGGGAAGAUAAAUUAUUGUAAAGAAUAAUUCUUUCCAGAAGCACUAGUCAUAGCAAAAGACCGGAAUAUAAAUCCAAGAAUAAAGAACUGAUUAAAUAUGGAUGAUAAAAUGAAUGCACAGAAAUUAAUGGGACCUGUGAUGAUUCAAUGAGAAAAAGGAUUCUCUUUGCUUGGGCACAAGAAGGAUUAGCUUCUUUUCAUCCAUGACAUAAUAAGUCAAUACAGGAUUUUUCCUGGAUCUUUCCGGGAAGAUGACAGUGACUUAAAUAUGUCACUACAUUGAAUUCUCUUGGUUUAACUAAUGUCCACAUCUGGGCAUAGGGACAAACUGGUUGGUUUGUUCUCUCAGAAGGAAAUAAAGAGGGCAUGGGAGUAUAUUUCAAACCGUUAUUCUACUAGAAGUUAAAACAAACUGAAUGUCGGUUAUGUAGCUCUAAGAGGAGCAGCAAAUUAGGACAAGUGUUGUGAGUGACUUGCAUCAAAGUACACUGUACUGUAUGCAUCUACGACGCCGUUGACGAAUUAGUCAAUUUUAAUAUACUUAAAAGAGGGCUGGAGAGAUAGGCGAGAAGCUAGGAGCACCAGCUGUUCUUGCAGAUGACGGUUUGAUUCCCAGCACCCAUGUGGUGUUUCUCUAUUGCCUGUAACUCCACUACUUUGGGAUCCAACACCCUCUUCUGGACUCUCCAGGUACCUUUAUGCAUGGGGUGCAUAUGAAAAUAGGAAGACACACAGUCAUACAUAAAGUAAUAAAUCUUUAAAAUGAAAGACAGCGAAGGUAAAAGUUUUUUUUUUUAAAGAUUUAUUCAUUUAUUAUAUAUAAGUACACUGUAGCUGUCUUCAGAUACACCAGAAGAGGGCAUCGGAUCUCUUUACAGAUGGUUGUGAGCCACCAUGUGGUUGCUGGGAAUUGAACUCAUUACCUCUGGAAGAGCAGUCUGGUGCUCUUAACUGCUGAGCCAUCUCUCCAGCCCCUGAAGCUCAGCUGGCCCCAGACUUGCUAUGUAGCUGAGAAGAACCUUGGGCUCCAGAUCUCCCUGCUUCUGCCUCUCCAGUGAUGAGUUUGAGACCUAAGCCGUCACGAGAGUCCAAACAGUUUAGUGAUCAAGUAACGCACUGUUGAAGUCUGAGUCCUGUACCAUACAGUUAAUUGAUUAAAAUUAUACGGUGGACGUGGUUUUAGUGUGUCUACAAAGGUAGACCACGACUGUUA
Rattus norvegicus (Norway rat) is the source of this 3759-nucleotide non-coding RNA. The record is from RefSeq and is a predicted model, not a curated record. NCBI's taxonomy places the organism in Eukaryota, Metazoa, Chordata, Mammalia, Rodentia, Muridae.